Molecule: ribosomal RNA, 388 nt
Filed under: uncultured bacterium
Lineage: Bacteria
Description: bacterial SSU rRNA
Rfam family: Bacterial small subunit ribosomal RNA
Source: RNAcentral
AUUGAACGCUGGCGGAAUGCUUUACACAUGCAAGUCGAACGGCAGCACGGGGCAACCUGGUGGCGAGUGGCGAACGGGUGAGUAAUACAUCGGAACGUGCCCAAUCGUGGGGGAUAACGUAGCGAAAGUUACGCUAAUACCGCAUACGAUCUACGGAUGAAAGCGGGGGAUCGCAAGACCUCGCGCGAAUGGAGCGGCCGAUGUCAGAUUAGGUAGUUGGUGGGGUAAAGGCUCACCAAGCCGACGAUCUGUAGCUGGUCUGAGAGGACGACCAGCCACACUGGGACUGAGACACGGCCCAGACUCCUACGGGAGGCAGCAGUGGGGAAUUUUGGGACAAUGGGCGCAAGCCUGAUCCAGCCAUUCCGCGUGCAGGAUGAAGGCCUUC